UACGGAGGGUGCAAGCGUUAUCCGGAUUCACUGGGUUUAAAGGGUGCGUAGGUGGGUUGGUAAGUCAGUGGUGAAAUCCCCGAGCUUAACUUGGGAACUGCCAUUGAUACUAUCAGUCUUGAAUACCGUGGAGGUCAGUUGAAUAUGUCAUGUAGCGGUGAAAUGCUUAGAUAUGACAUAGAACACCAAUUGCGAAGGCAGCUGGCUACACGAAUAUUGACACUGAGGCACGAAAGCGUGGGGAUCAAACAGG
Molecule: ribosomal RNA, 253 nt
Filed under: uncultured bacterium
Lineage: Bacteria
Description: partial 16S ribosomal RNA
Rfam family: Bacterial small subunit ribosomal RNA
Source: RNAcentral